UAACGUUGAGCUGUGAUGACGAGCUCGUAUGAGCGAAGUUCCUGAUUUCACGCUGCCAAGAAAAGCCUCUAUCGAGGUGAGAGGUGCCCGUACCGCAAACCGACACAGGUAGUCGAGGAGAGAAUCCUAAGGUGUGCGAGAGAACUCUCGUUAAGGAACUCGGCAAAAUGACCCCGUAACUUCGGGAGAAGGGGUGCUCUUUAAGGUGAAUAGCCAUGAAGAGCCGCAGUGAAUAGGCCCAGGCGACUGUUUAGCAAAAACACAGGUCUCUGCAAAACCGUAAGGUGACGUAUAGGGGCUGACGCCUGCCCGGUGCUGGAAGGUUAAGAGGAGUGGUUAGCGCAAGCGAAGCUGCGAAUUGAAGCCCCAGUAAACGGCGGCCGUAACUAUAACGGUCCUAAGGUAGCGAAAUUCCUUGUCGGGUAAGUUCCGACCCGCACGAAAGGCGUAACGAUCUGGGCACUGUCUCAACGAGAGACUCGGUGAAAUUAUAGUACCUGUGAAGAUGCAGGUUACCCGCGACAGGACGGAAAGACCCCGUGGAGCUUUACUGUAGCCUGAUAUUGAAUUUUGGUACAACUUGUACAGGAUAGGUAGGAGCCAGAGAUUCCGGAGCGCCAGCUUCGGAGGAGGCGUCAGUGGGAUACUACCCUGGUUGUAUUGAACUUCUAACCCAUACCCCUUAGCGGGGUAGGAGACAGUGUCAGGCGGACAGUUUGACUGGGGCGGUCGCCUCCUAAAGAGUAACGGAGGCGCCCAAAGGUUCCCUCAGAAUGGUUGGAAAUCAUUCGAAGAGUGUAAAGGCAUAAGGGAGCUUGACUGCGAGACCUACAAGUCGAGCAGGGUCGAAAGACGGGCUUAGUGAUCCGGUGGUUCCGCAUGGAAGGGCCAUCGCUCAACGGAUAAAAGCUACCCCGGGGAUAACAGGCUUAUCUCCCCCAAGAGUCCACAUCGACGGGGAGGUUUGGCACCUCGAUGUCGGCUCAUCGCAUCCUGGGGCUGUAGUCGGUCCCAAGGGUUGGGCUGUUCGCCCAUUAAAGCGGUACGCGAGCUGGGUUCAGAACGUCGUGAGACAGUUCGGUCCCUAUCCGUCGUGGGCGUAGGAAAUUUGAGAGGAGCUGUCCUUAGUACGAGAGGACCGGGAUGGACACACCGCUGGUGUACCAGUUGUUCUGCCAAGAGCAUCGCUGGGUAGCUAUGUGUGGACGGGAUAAGUGCUGAAAGCAUCUAAGCAUGAAGCCCCCCUCAAGAUGAGAUUUCCCAUUACGCAAGUAAGUAAGACCCCUGAAAGACGAUCAGGUAGAUAGGUUCGAGGUGGAAGUGUGGUGACACAUGGAGCUGACGAAUACUAAUCGGUCGAGGACUUAACCACAUUU
RNAcentral lists this ribosomal RNA (1376 nucleotides) under Lysinibacillus sp. S2017. RNAcentral describes it as "partial 23S ribosomal RNA". It matches the Rfam family "Bacterial large subunit ribosomal RNA", at positions 1551 to 2925 of the family's 2925-position model. Lineage: Bacteria; Bacillati; Bacillota; Bacilli; Caryophanales; Bacillaceae. The record is from RNAcentral.